GGCUACGGCCAUACCACACUGAACAUGCCUGAUCUCAUCUGAUCUCGGGAGCUAAGCAGGGUCGGGCCUGGUUAGUACCUGGAUGGGAGAGCGACAGACAGAGAGACACCUACAGCACUGCUUCAU
This is a non-coding RNA of Erinaceus europaeus (western European hedgehog), 126 nucleotides long. The record is from Rfam. Lineage: Eukaryota; Metazoa; Chordata; Mammalia; Eulipotyphla; Erinaceidae.